This 460-nucleotide ribosomal RNA is filed under the name uncultured bacterium. RNAcentral describes it as "partial 16S ribosomal RNA". It matches the Rfam family "Bacterial small subunit ribosomal RNA", at positions 338 to 795 of the family's 1533-position model. The record is from RNAcentral.
CCUACGGGAGGCAGCAGUGAGGAAUAUUGGUCAAUGGACGCAAGCCUGAACCAGCCAUGUCGCGUGCAGGAUGACGGCCCUAUGAGUUGUAAACCGCUUUUGUACGAGGGUAAACGCCGAUACGUGUAUCGGUUUGAAAGUAUCCUACGAAUAAGGAUCGGCUAACUCCGUGCCAGCAGCCGCGGUAAUACGGAGGAUCCGAGCGUUAUCCGGAUUUAUUGGGUUUAAAGGGUGCGUAGGCGGUUUGAUAAGUUAGAGGUGAAAUGUCGGGGCUCAACCCCGUAACUGCCUCUAAUACUGUUGGACUAGAGAAUGGUUGAGGUAGGCGGAAUGUGUGGUGUAGCGGUGAAAUGCUUAGAGAUCAUACAGAACAUCGAUUGCGAAGGCAGCUUACCAAACUAUAUCUGACGUUGAGGCACGAAAGCGUGGGUAGCAAACAGGAUUAGAUACCCGGGUAGUC